This 218-nucleotide ribosomal RNA is filed under the name Acanthamoeba polyphaga. RNAcentral's name for it is "partial 18S ribosomal RNA". It matches the Rfam family "Eukaryotic small subunit ribosomal RNA", at positions 965 to 1093 of the family's 1831-position model. The record is from RNAcentral. Lineage: Eukaryota; Discosea; Longamoebia; Acanthamoebidae.
UGUUUUCAUUAAUCAAGAACGAAAGUUAGGGGAUCGAAGACGAUCAGAUACCGUCGUAGUCUUAACCAUAAACGAUGCCGACCAGCGAUUAGGAGACGUUGAAUACAAAACACCACCAUCGGUGCGGUCGUCCUUGGCGUCUCGGUCCUUCACGGGGCCGGGGCGCGGGGGUGGCUUAGCCCGGUGGCACCGGUGAAUGACUCCCUAGCAGCUUGUGA